AAUAGAUACCCAGGUAGUCCACGCCGUAAACGAUGAGUGCUAAGUGUUAGAGGGUUUCCGCCCUUUAGUGCUGCAGCUAACGCAUUAAGCACUCCGCCUGGGGAGUACGGUCGCAAGACUGAAACUCAAAGGAAUUGACGGGGGCCCGCACAAGCGGUGGAGCAUGUGGUUUAAUUCGAAGCAACGCGAAGAACCUUACCAGGUCUUGACAUCCUCUGACAACUCUAGAGAUAGAGUGUUCCCCUUCGGGGGACAGAGUGACAGGUGGUGCAUGGUUGUCGUCAGCUCGUGUCGUGAGAUGUUGGGUUAAGUCCCGCAACGAGCGCAACCCUUGAUCUUAGUUGCCAGCAUUUAGUUGGGCACUCUAAGGUGACUGCCGGUGACAAACCGGAGGAAGGUGGGGAUGACGUCAAAUCAUCAUGCCCCUUAUGACCUGGGCUACACACGUGCUACAAUGGAUGGUACAAAGGGCUGCAAGACCGCGAGGUCAAGCCAAUCCCAUAAAACCAUUCUCAGUUCGGAUUGUAGG
This 529-nucleotide ribosomal RNA is filed under the name uncultured bacterium. Its description in RNAcentral is "bacterial SSU rRNA". It matches the Rfam family "Bacterial small subunit ribosomal RNA", at positions 777 to 1304 of the family's 1533-position model. The record is from RNAcentral.